GAGCUUGCUCCUUGGGUGACGAGUGGCGGACGGGUGAGUAAUGUCUGGGAAACUGCCCGAUGGAGGGGGAUAACUACUGGAAACGGUAGCUAAUACCGCAUAACGUCGCAAGACCAAAGAGGGGGACCUUCGGGCCUCUUGCCAUCGGAUGUGCCCAGAUGGGAUUAGCUAGUAGGUGGGGUAACGGCUCACCUAGGCGACGAUCCCUAGCUGGUCUGAGAGGAUGACCAGCCACACUGGAACUGAGACACGGUCCAGACUCCUACGGGAGGCAGCAGUGGGGAAUAUUGCACAAUGGGCGCAAGCCUGAUGCAGCCAUGCCGCGUGUAUGAAGAAGGCCUUCGGGUUGUAAAGUACUUUCAGCGAGGAGGAAGGUGUUGUGGUUAAUAACCGCAGCAAUUGACGUUACUCGCAGAAGAAGCACCGGCUAACUCCGUGCCAGCAGCCGCGGUAAUACGGAGGGUGCAAGCGUUAAUCGGAAUUACUGGGCGUAAAGCGCACGCAGGCGGUCUGUCAAGUCGGAUGUGAAAUCCCCGGGCUCAACCUGGGAACUGCAUCCGAAACUGGCAGGCUAGAGUCUUGUAGAGGGGGGUAGAAUUCCAGGUGUAGCGGUGAAAUGCGUAGAGAUCUGGAGGAAUACCGGUGGCGAAGGCGGCCCCCUGGACAAAGACUGACGCUCAGGUGCG
RNAcentral lists this ribosomal RNA (686 nucleotides) under Citrobacter braakii. Its description in RNAcentral is "bacterial SSU rRNA". It matches the Rfam family "Bacterial small subunit ribosomal RNA", at positions 76 to 755 of the family's 1533-position model. The record is from RNAcentral. Lineage: Bacteria; Pseudomonadati; Pseudomonadota; Gammaproteobacteria; Enterobacterales; Enterobacteriaceae.